GGGGGCGACCUGGCUUCGACGCGGGUUACGAAACCGGAGGUGCAUGCCGAGGUGCAAAUUCCUCGUUAAUCUGUUUGCAAAACUUAUAGUUGCCAACGACGACAACUACGCUUUAGCUGCUUAAUAACCAGCGUAAAGCCUUCGGCCUGAGGUGUGCCUGUACGCGCAGAUAACCGGAGUCAUCCCAUAUAGGAUCGCGCUGAAGUUUGUUCGGGAUGGAUGCGUUAAACUCUUACCGAAAUCGCCAGCUGUUUUCCCUGCCAGUCGGGUAGCUUCUGGUUAAAUUAAUUGACUGAAUAAGCAUGUAGAGCCGAUGGCAGAGGGCUGGCGGACGCGGGUUCGAUUCCCGCCGCCUCCACCA
RNAcentral lists this transfer-messenger RNA (361 nucleotides) under Gammaproteobacteria bacterium. It matches the Rfam family "transfer-messenger RNA". Rfam says of the family: Bacterial tmRNA, also known as 10Sa RNA or SsrA, is named for its dual tRNA and mRNA-like properties. Its role is to liberate the mRNA from a stalled ribosome. To accomplish this part of the tmRNA is used as a reading frame that ends in a translation stop signal. Lineage: Bacteria; Pseudomonadati; Pseudomonadota; Gammaproteobacteria. The record is from RNAcentral.